GGUUUUAGGUGUAAUGGUUAGCACGUCGGAUUUUGAUUCCGGAGAUAUUGGUUCGAUUCCUAUAUGAACCU
This 71-nucleotide transfer RNA is filed under the name Lachnellula hyalina. It matches the Rfam family "tRNA". Rfam says of the family: Transfer RNA (tRNA) molecules are approximately 80 nucleotides in length. Their secondary structure includes four short double-helical elements and three loops (D, anti-codon, and T loops). Lineage: Eukaryota; Fungi; Ascomycota; Leotiomycetes; Helotiales; Lachnaceae. The record is from Rfam by way of RNAcentral.